Molecule: unclassified non-coding RNA, 326 nt
Filed under: Hevea brasiliensis (rubber tree)
Lineage: Eukaryota; Viridiplantae; Streptophyta; Magnoliopsida; Malpighiales; Euphorbiaceae
Source: RNAcentral
AGAAUUAUUGCUAAAGGAGAAGAGGCAACAGCAGAGCUUGAUGCUAAGAUGAAGAAGUUUACCGAAGAUGCAAUAAAAUUCAAAAUGGAUGACACUGCUGAAUUAUAUGAUUUUGAUGAUGAUAAGGAUGAGAGUAAGUUUGACUUCAAGAAGAUUGUCAGUGAAAAUUGGAUUGAACCGCCGAAGAGAGAGCGAAAGCGCAAUUACUCGGAAUCUGAAUACUUUAAGCAAACAUUGCGUCAAGGUGGUCCUGCAAAACCAAAGGAACCUCGAAUUCCUCGUAUGCCUCAAUUACAUGAUUUUCAGUUUUUCAACACACAAAGAUU